RNAcentral lists this ribosomal RNA (506 nucleotides) under uncultured bacterium. RNAcentral's name for it is "bacterial SSU rRNA". It matches the Rfam family "Bacterial small subunit ribosomal RNA", at positions 28 to 517 of the family's 1533-position model. The record is from RNAcentral.
GACGAACGCUGGCGGCGUGCCUAAUGCAUGCAAGUCGAGCGGGCUACGAUCUUCGGAUUGUAGCUUAGCGGCGAACGGGUGAGUAACACGUAGGUAAUCUACCCUUCAGAGGAGGACAACCUCAGGAAACUGAGGCUAAACCUUCAUACGUUCACUGGUAGGGAUACUGGUGAAGAAAGAGUUACCUUAGUGGUAGCUGCUGAAGGAUGAGCCUGCGGCCCAUCAGGUAGUUGGUGAGGUAACGGCUCACCAAGCCGAAGACGGGUAACCGGUCUGAGAGGAUGUCCGGUCACACUGGGACUGAGACACGGCCCAGACUCCUACGGGAGGCAGCAGCAGGGAAUCUUGGGCAAUGGGCGAAAGCCUGACCCAGCGACGCCGCGUGCAGGAUGAAGGCCUUCGGGUUGUAAACUGCUUUUGUACGGAACGAAACGGUGAGCUCUAAUAAAGCUUGCUAAUGACGGUACCGUAAGAAUAAGCACCGGCUAACUACGUGCCAGCAGACC